GGACGUAGCUGUCUGCAGUGCAGGAGCCAUCUACUAAGGUGUAACAAGUGUAUUUUGGAGCCUGCUGUCCCUGUGGAUUGAGCCGGUGAAGCCCUGAGGCUCUCUAGGGGUGGAUGGAGAAGGAGCUGGGGGCCUUGGCUGUAAGGACCCCUAAGG
Non-coding RNA from Callithrix jacchus (white-tufted-ear marmoset), 156 nucleotides. NCBI's taxonomy places the organism in Eukaryota, Metazoa, Chordata, Mammalia, Primates, Cebidae. The record is from Rfam.